AAUGCAUGUUUACACAUUAUUGCAGCAGUAAUAUUAAUCCAGAAACACCAGAUGAUAGUAAAACACUGACAGGGAACAUUUUACUGCACAAUGACUACUUUUCAUUUUCAUACUUUACAUUUUG
Long non-coding RNA from Etheostoma spectabile (orangethroat darter), 124 nucleotides. RefSeq lists it as uncharacterized. NCBI's taxonomy places the organism in Eukaryota, Metazoa, Chordata, Actinopteri, Perciformes, Percidae. The record is from RefSeq and is a predicted model, not a curated record. The transcript has 4 exons.